RNAcentral lists this ribosomal RNA (1534 nucleotides) under uncultured bacterium. RNAcentral describes it as "bacterial SSU rRNA". It matches the Rfam family "Bacterial small subunit ribosomal RNA". The record is from RNAcentral.
AGAGUUUGAUCCUGGCUCAGAUUGAACGCUGGCGGCAUGCUUUACACAUGCAAGUCGAACGGCAGCACGUUUUAGGCAACUAAGAUGGUGGCGAGUGGCGGACGGGUGAGUAGAACAUCGGAACGUACCCAUUAGAGGGGGAUAACUUGGCGAAAGUCAAGCUAAUACCGCGUAAGCUCGGGAGAGGAAAGCAGGGGAUCUUANNGGACCUUGCGCUGAUGGAGCGGCCGAUGACUGAUUAGCUAGUUGGUGGGGUAAAGGCCUACCAAGGCGACGAUCGGUAGCUGGUCUGAGAGGAUGAUCAGCCACACUGGGGAUGAGAGACGGCCCAGACUCCUACGGGAGGCAGCAGUGGGGAAUUUUGGACAAUGGGCGGAAGCCUGAUCCAGCAAUGCCGCGUGGGUGAAGAAGGCCUUAGGGUUGUAAAGCCCUUUCGGUAGGGAAGAAAAGGUAUUUUUAAAUAGAGGAUACUGAUGACGGUACCUGCAGAAGAAGCACCGGCAAACUACGUGCCAGCAGCCGCGGUAACACGUAGGGUGCGAGCGUUAAUCGGAAUUAUUGGGCGUAAAGGGUACGCAGGCGGGUGUGUAAGUCAGGUGUGAAAUUCCUGGGCUCAACUUGGGGACAGCACUUGAGACUGCAUAGCUAGAGUAUGGCAGAGGGGGGUGGAAUUUCACGUGUAGCAGUGAAAUGCGUAGAGAUGUGAAGGAACACCGAUGGCGAAGGCAGCCCCCUGGGCCGUUACUGACGCUCAUGUACGAAAGCGUGGGGAGCGAACAGGAUUAGAUACCCUGGUAGUCCACGCCCUAAACGAUGUCGACUAGUUGUUGGGGNNUUAUUAUAACUUUAGUAACGUAGCUAACGCGUGAAGUCGACCGCCUGGGGAGUACGAUCGCAAGAUUAAAACUCAAAGGAAUUGACGGGGACCCGCACAAGCGGUGGAUGAUGUGGAUUAAUUCGAUGCAACGCGAAGAACCUUACCUACCCUUGACAUGUGCGGAAGGUGGGAGAGAUUUCACUGUGCCUGAGAGGGAACCGCAACACAGGUGCUGCAUGGCUGUCGUCAGCUCGUGUCGUGAGAUGUUGGGUUAAGUCCCGCAACGAGCGCAACCCUUGUUAUCAUUUGCUACGAAAGGGCACUCUGAUGAGACUGCCGGUGACAAACCGGAGGAAGGUGGGGACGACGUCAAGUCAUCAUGGCCCUUAUGGGUAGGGCUUCACACGUCAUACAAUGGUUGGUACAGAGGGUAGCGAACCCGCGAGGGGGUGCGAAUCCCAGAAAGCCAAUCGUAGUCCGGAUUGCAGUCUGCAACUCGACUGCAUGAAGUCGGAAUCGCUAGUAAUCGUGGAUCAGAAUGCCGCGGUGAAUACGUUCCCGGGUCUUGUACACACCGCCCGUCACACCAUGGGAGUGGGAUUAACCAGAAGCAGGUAGCCUAACCGCGAGGGGGGCGUUUGCCACGGUGAGUUUCAUGACUGGGGUGAAGUCGUAACAAGGUAGCCGUAUCGGAAGGUGCGGCUGGAUCACCUCCUU